UUGCAGUUAAAAAGCUCGUAGUUGGAUUUCUGCGGGGGCGGGGCGGCCGGUUGCUUAUAGCAACUCGAGCUAGCACUUCCCCCGCAUCCUGCCGCGAACCGUGCUACCAUUAGUUUGGUGGCGCUGGGGAUCGGCUCGUUUACUUUGAGAAAAAUAGAGUGUUCAAAGCAGGCCACACGCCUUGAAUAAGUUAGCAUGGAAUAAUAAUAAAGGACUUCGGUUCUAUUUUGUUGGUGUUCGGGACUGAAGUAAUGAUUGAUAGGGACAGUUGGGGCGGUCAGUAUUCCAAAGCGAUAGGUGAAAUUCUUAGACCUUCGGAAGACUAACAGCUGCGAAAGCGUUCCGCAAGGAUGUUCCCUUUGAUCAAGAACGAAAGUUGGGGGAUCGAAGACGAUCAGAUACCGUCGUAGUCUCAACUAUAAACUAUACCAGCUAGGGAUCGGUCAACGUUAAAUUAUUCGACUUGAUCGGCACCUUAUGAGAAAUCAAAGCAUCUGGGUUCCGGGGGGAGUAUGGUCGCAAGGCUGAAACUUAAAGGAAUUGACGGAAGGGCACCACCAGCCGUGGAGCCUGUGGCUUAAUUUGACU
This 588-nucleotide ribosomal RNA is filed under the name uncultured marine eukaryote. RNAcentral's name for it is "bacterial SSU rRNA". It matches the Rfam family "Eukaryotic small subunit ribosomal RNA", at positions 613 to 1200 of the family's 1831-position model. The record is from RNAcentral.